GUGAAUCAUCGAAUUUUUGAACGCACAUUGCACUCUUUGCUGAGAGUAUGCCUGUUUGAGUUUCAGCCUAAAAAAAAUCGACAUAGUUCCUGUUUUGCGGUGACAUUCGUCCGAAAUUGGGUCAUCUUAAGCCUUUUGGUUUUAAGCGGCUUCAAAUUGUCUUUACGAUUCUACGAACGAUUCUAAGAUUUACUUACACGUUUAAGGUAUCGAUCUUUAUUAGACUUGGCUGUUGUAUCGUAUG
RNAcentral lists this unclassified non-coding RNA (244 nucleotides) under Glomus sp. RNAcentral describes it as "partial internal transcribed spacer 2". The stretch from base 1 to 65 matches the Rfam family "5.8S ribosomal RNA", at positions 84 to 154 of the family's 154-position model. Lineage: Eukaryota; Fungi; Glomeromycota; Glomeromycetes; Glomerales; Glomeraceae. The record is from RNAcentral.